Molecule: ribosomal RNA, 317 nt
Filed under: uncultured bacterium
Lineage: Bacteria
Description: bacterial SSU rRNA
Rfam family: Bacterial small subunit ribosomal RNA
Source: RNAcentral
AAUCAACGCUGGCGGCGUGCCUCAGACAUGCAAGUCGUACGAUUAAAGCUCUCUUCGGAGAGUGUAUAGAGUGGCGCACGGGUGAGUAACACGUAAGUAAUCUACCUUCGAGUGGGGAAUAACAGUCGGAAACGACUGCUAAUACCGCAUAAUGCAGCGGCACCUAAUGGUGACAGUUGUUAAAGCAUUUAUGUGCUUGAAGAGGAGCUUGCGGCAGAUUAGCUAGUUGGUAAGGUAAUGGCUUACCAAGGCAACGAUCUGUAGCCGACCUGAGAGGGUGGUCGGUCACACUGACACUGAAUAACGGGUCAGACUCC